UACGUAGGGGGCAAGCGUUGUCCGGAAUCAUUGGGCGUAAAGCGCGUGUAGGCGGCUAGGUAAGUCUGCUCUGAAAGCCCGGGGCUCAACCCCGGGAGGCGGGUGGAUACUGUCUAGCUAGAGUCCGGAAGAGGAGAGUGGAAUUCCUGGUGUAGCGGUGAAAUGCGCAGAUAUCAGGAAGAACACCCGUGGCUAAGGCGGCUCUCUAGUACGGUACUGACGCUGAGACGCGAAAGCGUGGGGAGCAAACAGG
RNAcentral lists this ribosomal RNA (253 nucleotides) under uncultured bacterium. RNAcentral's name for it is "partial 16S ribosomal RNA". It matches the Rfam family "Bacterial small subunit ribosomal RNA", at positions 524 to 776 of the family's 1533-position model. The record is from RNAcentral.